This is a non-coding RNA of Schistosoma curassoni, 48 nucleotides long. Lineage: Eukaryota; Metazoa; Platyhelminthes; Trematoda; Strigeidida; Schistosomatidae. The record is from Rfam.
AUCCAAUUGAUGAGUCCUAAAUAGGACGAAAUGUGAGUCAAAUUGGAU